UUCCCAGCACGUAGCAAAAAAACAGCCAGCGAGGCUCCCCUCGAUCUAUGUAUUCUAUCCUACGAUCUCUCAAAGACGCCCCAGCCCCCAAUACGAGCCGCCGCCGAGAUCUAAGACGAGCCGCCGCCGAGAUACGAGUCGAUCCGCCGCCCCCGAGGACCAAGUGGAGCCGCCGCCGGCGCUGGCCAGGCUCCCCACGAUGUGCACGCCGGGGCGCCGCUCUUGCUCCCGCAGCCGAGGAUAGCAGCAGCGGCAGAGCCCCGCCACCGGCGAGCUCUCUCUGGCGGAGGAGGGCGGGGGCGAGCUCGCCGUCUCCCUCGCGCUCAACAAUCUCCUCUCCCACGCCGUCGCCCGCUUCACGGCCUACUUCAGCCUCAUGCCGCCAUGCCUCCAUUGCUCCCGCAUCGACCGGCUCUUCGGCGCAGAGGACGUCCAUCAAGCGGCGGGCGAGAUCUCCGGGAUGGGCCACUGCCUCCACCAUCACCGCCUCUUUGUUGUCGCCGCCGCCGACAUGUGCGAGGGAUGCCUCUCUUCUUCAAAGAACGAGAUGAAUGAAGGAUGCAGAGGAGACAUGCUCCAUGGCGUGUUCCUGUUGUAAUGCUCUCGACCUCUCGUACAGGGCACACCUCCGAGCUAGCCGAUGCUUAGUAUACCAGUGUUCUGCUGCAUCCGGUGCGACCUCAAAGAAUACCUUCGUCUAGCUGACUGUUGAGCACCUUAGGGACAACGAGGUGCAGUGCCUGGGGUGUAAGCAGUUCAACUACACGAUGAAGUGAGUGAAGGGGUUAAGACGGUUGCGUUGUGCGUGCGCUGCUUGCUUGCUGGUGAGUGUUGCCUCUGUGACUAGGUGUUCUUUGUUGUCUAUGCCCUCUGUAGUUUAAGGUGUUUGUUCUUUUAUGCAAUGCUCGCUCGCCCAAAGUAUGUAUGAUCUUUACCAUAGUACAUUAGCUAGCUAUAGGAGAUGACAUCUUUGUGCUUUUCUUCUUCGUGAACACGCAUAUGGAUGUUUGUGCAUUGGAACGGCAUGUCUUUCGGAUCAACUGCUCCCUGCUCCGACUUCGCCUUUUAAUUUGACUGAAUAUCUACUUACGCUCUCCAAGAUUGUUCCUGUGAGUUUCUUUAAAACCUAUUUGUGCACCCAGCUAGAUCAUACAGUUGUUAUUGUAUGGAGUUUUUUAUUGGGUCUGUUUAUCUCAGGGCUCUGACGCGCCGAUUUCGUUUAGACAAUUUUUAGAGCCAGUAUUUACUCCAGGGAAUACUCUUUAUAUUGUUCAAUCUCGGUGUAGGUCUAAUUUCUCGGAAACAGUUUCAGUCAAUGCUGGGCAGAAACCUCUUAAACUCAUUAAGUAGCGUUCUUCCUUUGUUGAAAUCUCAUUUCAUUGACGAUGUAUUGCGCUGCGUGUUGGUUAAGAUGAAGCAAGGAGAAAACCAUUGACGAUGUAUUGUGAUGCAUGUUUCAGUCAACUUGUUGGACAACUGUACACGUAUGUGUUUUUUCAAGCCCACUGAUUUCAGCCUCUCCGUCUCCUUCAAGCCGGUGAGUAAUUAAUUGGUUAACUGGACAUACUAUUUGAGAAGGGACAAGGGAAGAAACCUCAACUAUUUCCCUUAGUUCAUGUUGUCUCUACAAUUUACAAUUGUAUAUGUAGUGCUACCUGAAUUAAAUUCUGGCAACUAAGCUCAUGCAGUGCUUAAGACUAAAUGGGAUAUAAUGGAAACGCAGAUGAGAAGUUCAGGUAUAUUCCUGGGAGUGCCUAAUAUGUGGCUCCAGAGGUGCUGAAGCGGAGAUAUGGAGCCGAUAAUUGCAUAUGGAGUGCUGGAGUUAUACUCUACAUUCU
Non-coding RNA from Aegilops tauschii subsp. strangulata, 1838 nucleotides. Lineage: Eukaryota; Viridiplantae; Streptophyta; Magnoliopsida; Poales; Poaceae. The record is from RefSeq and is a predicted model, not a curated record.